UUCAAUUAUCUCAUGUACUGUAGGGGGACCUCAAGGACCACAAAUCCUCCCAGUUACACUUUGAUCAAAUGCCACAUAAUAUAUGACACUCCCACCUGCAGCUCUUCAUAUCUCUGAAGUUAUUAGAAACUCUGGCAGUUUGCAUCUAACAGAACAUGGAUAUUAUCAUUAAAGAAGGCCUCCUCAGAUUAUCACUCUUUGUGCUGUGGACUGCAGGUCUAAUUGAAGGGCGCGAUGUCACCCAGAAUGACACACUGUGGAAAUACAAGGGCAACAGUGCAACAAUAGACUGCAGACACACAAAGGAUGCUGAGUAUUUCUAUAUGUACUGGUACAGACAGCUACCAGGAGAAACAAUGAAACUAAUUGUCUUCACAUCAAUCAGCAGCAAAGACUUUGGCAAUUUCAGCACAGAGAAAUUCUCAGCAACCAAACCUGACGCUGCCAGUGGGACAUUCACAGUGAACAAUCUGGAGCCAGAAGAUAAAGGCUUGUACUUCUGUGCUGUUCCUCUCUCAGUGAGAAAGUCCACCAAACUCCAGCUGACAUGUACAACACACCAGGAGGAAAAGCCAAAAUCAAUUGUUCACAUGAGAUUGACACCUAUAACCGAAUCCUCUGGUACAAGCAAACAGACGGACAACUACAUUUCCUGGGAUAUAUGUUAGGAGACUCUGGAAAACCAGAGAAUGGAGUAAAAGUGAAGAUAGCAGGGAGUGCAAAUAAAGGCCAAACCUGCACAUUAACAAUUGAAGAACUCCAGCUGAACAGCAGUGCAGUGUACUUCUGUGCUGCUAGUUUACACAGUGCUACAUAUCACUGCUCCUCAGUACAAAAACCUCAUCACACUCUUCAUCUCUGUAGCACACAGCCUCUUGCACCUGUAUGCUUUCCUUUCAGUAGGUGGUGGUAUAUCUUAACUCAGCCCUUUAUACUGAACCAGUGGAGUGUAGUGGUAGUUGACACGAUAGUUAGAAUAUUAGAAGAUGCACGAUGACACCACCCACCUCAUGCCUUCA
Non-coding RNA from Dicentrarchus labrax (European seabass), 1019 nucleotides. NCBI's taxonomy places the organism in Eukaryota, Metazoa, Chordata, Actinopteri, Moronidae. The record is from the annotation of a RefSeq genome assembly.